Molecule: ribosomal RNA, 409 nt
Filed under: bacterium
Lineage: Bacteria
Description: partial 16S ribosomal RNA
Rfam family: Bacterial small subunit ribosomal RNA
Source: RNAcentral
UGGGGAAUAUUGCACAAUGGGCGAAAGCCUGAUGCAGCGACGCCGCGUGAGGGAUGACGGCCUUCGGGUUGUAAACCUCUUUCAGCAGGGACGAAGCGCAAGUGACGGUACCUGCAGAAGAAGCACCGGCUAACUACGUGCCAGCAGCCGCGGUAAUACGUAGGGUGCAAGCGUUGUCCGGAAUUACUGGGCGUAAAGAGUUCGUAGGCGGUUUGUCGCGUCGUUUGUGAAAAACAGCAGCUCAACUGCUGGCUUGCAGGCGAGACGGGCAGAAUUGAGUACUGCAGGGGGGACUGGAAGUCCUGGUGUAGCGGUGAAAUGCGCAGAUAUCAGGGGGAACACCGGUGGCGAAGGCGGGUCUCUGGGCAGUAACUGACGCUGAGGAACGAAAGCGUGGGUAGCGAACAGG